RNAcentral lists this ribosomal RNA (616 nucleotides) under uncultured Legionella sp. RNAcentral describes it as "bacterial SSU rRNA". It matches the Rfam family "Bacterial small subunit ribosomal RNA", at positions 242 to 849 of the family's 1533-position model. Lineage: Bacteria; Pseudomonadati; Pseudomonadota; Gammaproteobacteria; Legionellales; Legionellaceae. The record is from RNAcentral.
UAGCUAGUCGGUGGGGUAAGGGCCUACCAAGGCGACGAUCGGUAGCUGGUCUGAGAGGAUGAUCAGCCACACUGGAACUGAGACACGGUCCAGACUCCUACGGGAGGCAGCAGUGGGGAAUAUUGGACAAUGGGGGGAACCCUGAUCCAGCAAUGCCGCGUGUGUGAAGAAGGUCUGAGGGUUGUAAAGCACUUUCAGUGGGGAGGAGGUUUAGUUGGUUAAGAGCUGAUUGAAUGGACGUUACCCACAGAAGAAGCACCGGCUAACUCCGUGCCAGCAGCCGCGGUAAUACGGAGGGUGCGAGCGUUAAUCGGAAUUACUGGGCGUAAAGAGUGCGUAGGUGGUUGAUUAAGUUAUCUGUGAAAUUCCUGGGCUUAACCUGGGCUUGUCAGAUAAGACUGAUUGACUCGAGUAUGGGAGAGGGUAGUGGAAUUUCCGGUGUAGCGGUGAAAUGCGUAGAGAUCGGAAGGAACACCAGUGGCGAAGGCGGCUACCUGGCCUGAUACUGACACUGAGGCACGAAAGCGUGGGGAGCAAACAGGAUUAGAUACCCUAGUAGUCCGCGCUGUAAACGAUGUCAACUAGCUGUUGGCCUUAUGAAUAAGGUUAGUGGCGC